Pelobates cultripes (western spadefoot toad) is the source of this 1373-nucleotide non-coding RNA. NCBI's taxonomy places the organism in Eukaryota, Metazoa, Chordata, Amphibia, Anura, Pelobatidae. The record is from the annotation of a GenBank genome assembly.
UCUGUAUUUUGAUGGCUGUGGGGGAAAAGCAACCCCACUACAUUCUGUAACGUUAGGAAAUUGAUUCUGUAUCCUAGAAGAUAAUGGCAAACUCCAGAAAUUGAACAGCAAUUUUCUUAGACACUGCAUUGCGAAAGAACAUUUACAGGCAUAUUUACUAAAGUGAGCAUUGUCAUCAAUUCAUAGUGAAUUUCAGGUUUUAGACCAAAAUAGCUGAACUGGAAGCAUAGCUGAAUUAGAUAAUUGUUCCAAUUCAGCUAAUUUGGUCUUAAAUUUUUAAUUCACUUUGAAUUCACAAUUAUCACUUUAGUAAAUAACUCUGUUCGUUAAAAUAAAGCAUGCUUAUCAAUAUGUCAAAUAAUCAAUAUACUAACUUCUGAAGGUGUGGAUAGGGGUGAAACUUUUCUGGAACAUUUUAGGAGGCUUCAUAAUCCACAAACAUUAUUUUAUGUAAAGAAAAAUGUAAUUUAGAAUCAGACCAAAGUGUUUUAUUGAUGCUGGGCUCAUAUGCUAUUGUUUAACAAUACAGACUGUUAUAUACUUGUACACACCAAAACACCUUGAAAAAGAAGAACAAGGGACAAAAGAAGAAAAAAGAGGGACAAGGAAAUGUCGGCACUAAAUAAGGACUGUACCUCCUAAAGCGGGACACUUUUAACUUAUGAUACAGUAUAUAAUUAUAUCUCUCACAAUAGAAUCCAGGGCUUAUAAUAAAAAAGGGGAAAAAAGCUAAAAGCAAAUAGCUUUUAUUGUCAUUCAUUAACCCCUUUACUUCCAAAAUCAAGUAUAAACAUUUUUAUUUCCAUUUAGUGUGCAGUAUUAAAUUAAGUCCAUAAAGACUCACUCACCCUAAUUUAAACUCUAGUUAUGAUUACCAGCCUAUAGAUGAACACUUUUAUAUGCCAGAAGCCACCAGUCACUGAUAUAGUGCCUGCAAGUGUCCUGAAAAUGUAAGUUCACCCCAAACAUUAAAGGAAGCUUCAAUGGGUCAUAUCAUUCCUACAGUCACGGAAGAGUCAGAGUGAAUAGACUCUGUCAUUUCACUAUUAGCAUACGUUAGUGUCACAGAGAUUGCUCUCUACCUUUAUUUAAGAAAUAUAUAAUUUAACUGUAUUUACUCAUUAUGCAGGAAUUAUUUGUAAAUGCAAACAUUUUUUUUUGUCAUUUUCAGUAAGUUGUACUGCUAGUAAUGCUUUUGGUGUCCUUGCUAAUACCUAUAAGCAAGGUAUUUGACCAUUUAUAUUUAUCUAUUUUUGCCACACCUACUGUAUAUGAGAAAAAUGGCAUUUUUGCUUUUAUACUAACAUUUCAGAACCUGUGUGAAACCUGUAUACCGUCUAAAGCUUUUUAUUUCCCAAAUAUUUCUAUAAAAG